This 1362-nucleotide long non-coding RNA is filed under the name Pogona vitticeps (central bearded dragon). RNAcentral's name for it is "lncRNA (ENSPVIG00000001526.1)". Lineage: Eukaryota; Metazoa; Chordata; Lepidosauria; Squamata; Agamidae. The record is from RNAcentral.
UUUUAGCCUGUCGACAGUCCUGUGAGAAGGGAAAGGCGGAGUGGCCGCGGAAUAUAUUCAUGGUCGUUGUAGUAGGAGGAGGACGAGCAGAGGUGUUAGUCUGUGCGGGCCUUAUAUGUAGAAGCAAAAUAGAAAUUUUUUUUGAAAAAAGGCAAAAACGUGCUGGCAUCUUAAAGAUUAACUUAUAUUUUUUUUAAUGUGAGCUUUCGUGGACAAGUCCACUUCACCAGUCCUUUAAGGGGCCACCAUGUUUUUGUUCUUUUUUUUUUAACUUGUUAUUUCUGUGUUGCUUUUGCCUUGAAUAUUCCUAGUCCCAGGAUUUUCGGAGUUGUAGCGUGUGAGAAUUUCAACAAAAAAACCCAAAACAAAAGCAAGAACACAUUGUGACACUUUAAAAACUAAUUGCUGUAAAAUGUAAAUUUCUGGUGAACAUUGUCUAUAUGUUAAGACGUGUGAAAAUGCAGUUUGCUUGGAUUUCGAACCUAUUACAGUAAUGAUUUAUGACCCCUGUUUGGUAUUCAGUUCUGUCCUUUUGUUGGUUUUAAUGGCGUUACGAGUUUUAAUUCAGUGUUAUUGAUGCCAUUGCCUGUAACACGUCUAACUAUUGCUUGUCAGAAUGCUCUUGAUUACACCCGAGUUGCCUGCAAUAUACUUUGUGUUAAAAAAAAGUGUGUAUCCUGCCAUUUCGUUUUAGUGGAACCUGCACCCUGACAGGGCGUGGACUGCUCUCCUUUUUGGGUCCAAUCCUGUCUUCUUCAAGGUUACUCCAUUCCAGCUCCACUACCCAGCUUUUCAUCUCACCCUACACAACCAUCAGUAGUCUGCAUUCCUUGAGCAUACCCACUGCUCACUGGAGUUCCCUUCUCCAUCCUGAGGCUAUCGGUAAUGCCUAUUUCUGGCUUAAUAUUCCAGCUCUAAAUGUGUUUCAAGGAAACAUCAUUAAUACUGGCUCCCUUCCUUCACUUUCAUCUGUCAAAGAUUGCCAACACUCUAUAGAACAGAGAGAGGCAUGAAAGGCAUUAUCACCCCAUUGGCUCUACUGAAAGAUCGGCUGUGUUUGUUUCACAUUCUCCCAACACUUUUUCUAUCCCAGUUGCUCAUUAUAAAAAUGUCUGUGGAUCUCUAAGUGUUGUUGCCUAAGUUUGUUGUCCCUUUCUUUCUUAUCUUAUUUUUACUUUUGUAUCCUGAUAGUAUAUAAGCAGAAUUUGUUUUUUAUUUAUCUUACAUAGGCUGCUCUGGGAACUUUUUUGACUAAAGAACAGAGUGAAAAUACCUUCAAGAAACAUGUUCAAAAGGAAUUUCUGGUCACUCGGCCCAGGAGCAACAAUCUCUGAAAACUCACAUAUAAGGAGCCUCAUGGCA